UACAUUGGUGCCACAUCCUCAGCCAA
Molecule: non-coding RNA, 26 nt
Filed under: Rattus norvegicus (Norway rat)
Lineage: Eukaryota; Metazoa; Chordata; Mammalia; Rodentia; Muridae
Source: RNAcentral